This 85-nucleotide transfer RNA is filed under the name Prevotella sp. OH937_COT-195. RNAcentral's name for it is "tRNA-Leu". It matches the Rfam family "tRNA". From Rfam's summary of the family: Transfer RNA (tRNA) molecules are approximately 80 nucleotides in length. Their secondary structure includes four short double-helical elements and three loops (D, anti-codon, and T loops). The record is from RNAcentral. Lineage: Bacteria; Pseudomonadati; Bacteroidota; Bacteroidia; Bacteroidales; Prevotellaceae.
GCGCCUGUGGCGGAAUUGGUAGACGCGCCAGACUUAGGAUCUGGUGACUUAUGUCGUGUAGGUUCGAGUCCUAUUAGGCGCACAA